CGAACCGUCCAAACGUUAUUCGGAAUCACUGGGCUUACAGAGUUCGUAGGCGGUCCCAAAAGUUAGGUGUGAAAUCCCUCGGCUCAACCGAGGAACUGCGCUUAAAACUGUGGGACUCGAGGGAGAUAGAGGAAAGCGGAACUGAUGGUGGAGCGGUGAAAUGCGUUGAUAUCAUCAGGAACACCGGUGGCGAAGGCGGCUUUCUGGGUCUUACCUGACGCUGAGGAACGAAAGCUAGGGGAGCGAACGGGAUUAGAUACCCCGGUAGUCCUAGCCGUAAACGAUGAGCACUAGGUCGUGGGCCUCCACAGGCCCUCGGCCGUAGCGAAAGUGUUAAGUGCUCCGCCUGGGGAGUAUGGUCGCAAGGCUG
This 370-nucleotide ribosomal RNA is filed under the name uncultured organism. Its description in RNAcentral is "bacterial SSU rRNA". It matches the Rfam family "Bacterial small subunit ribosomal RNA", at positions 526 to 896 of the family's 1533-position model. The record is from RNAcentral.